Molecule: long non-coding RNA, 548 nt
Organism: Acromyrmex echinatior (Panamanian leafcutter ant)
Lineage: Eukaryota; Metazoa; Arthropoda; Insecta; Hymenoptera; Formicidae
Source: RefSeq, a predicted model, not a curated record
CUCUCGUCCAGGCCCUCCAUAGUCACCAGAUAGCGACCGACCUCGGCGGCGCAUUCGCCCCAGCCUACUGCGUGUUCAUUUCCUGGGAAUGUUAUUCCCCGACGAAGAUGCCGUGUUCCGAAAGAAAGCAGGUGUCAAAAGAUGAUAUCGCCGGUUUUUCCGGCGCUUUCCUCGAAUCACGCUCCGGCCGGCUCGCAGAUUGACAACGUGGAAGUGCAUCUGCGGACGGGUUCGACAUCUGUCCCAGACCCGAUCCGUCGAGCGCCUCCCUCGCGAGGGGUGCCGCGCGGGACACCUCAUCCCCGGGCCCGCCGCCACCAAUCGUGGGAACACCACUUCCAGAGAGUCGUUGACUUCCUGUGCUUCCCACAGGAUCUACGCGCCCGGUCCAGCACCUGCUCGCGUGGAUCCCGUUUACGCUCGAGCUCUUUUGCGGCCUUCACGGGAAACCAUAUGCCACUACGGUUUUCUUGCGAUUUUCUCCACGACGUCGUAUUUUUUAAAAAGAUUUAUCAUGAAUUUAUCAUUCAAUAACGGAAAGAAAGAAA